UAAUUUUGUGAAAGCCAUGUUUGAUGACGGUAACUUGGAUGUCAAACGCGGUUUGAAGAUCCUAGUCAAUCGAUCUCUCAUAAACAUAUGCAGUGUCACUGAAAACAUAGUCAUGCACAAAUUACUACAGCAAAUGGCUAAACAAACCAUUCAUAAACAAGAGCCUUGGAAACGUCAGAUCUUAAUGGAUCCUCAUGAGAUUUGUGAUGUCCUCGAGAAUGAAACAGUAAAUUAUAUCUCUUUCUUUUCUCUUUGUUUGACUUUUAUUAACUAGUACUUACUUUAAACAUGGUCAUUUGGUGGAGACGAAACAAAUCCUACAUAUUGUGCUAACUUAUUAUUUGGAAUAUUGGUUUAGGGUACCAGAGCUGUGACUGGAAUAUCAUUUGAUAGAUCUAAUAUCGAUGAAGUAUCUAUCAGCCAGAGCGCUCUUAAAAGAAUGCCAAAUCUUCAGUUCCUCAGAGUCUACCAAACAAGAGGUGAUAAAAUGCACAUACCUGAGAAGAUGGAAUUCCCACGUCGUCUAAGGUUAUUACAUUGGGAGUCAUACCCAAGAAAGAGUCUUCCUCCUAGAUUUCAUCCUGAAUAUCUUGUUGAACUCAAUAUGCGGGAAAGCCGGUUGGAAUACCUCUGGAAAGGAACCCUGGUUAGUGUUAGAACUUAAAAGAUAUGAAUAUAUACACAUUUUAUCUUCUUGUUGAAAUGAUAUUUAAUCAGCUGUGUUGUUGUGUUGUCUUACUACAUAAAGCCGCUUAGAAAUCUCAAGAAGAUGGAUUUAUUAGGGUCCGAGAAUUUGAAAGAACUCCCGGAUCUUUCAAAGGCUACAAAACUGGAGAC
RNAcentral lists this long non-coding RNA (837 nucleotides) under Capsella grandiflora. RNAcentral describes it as "long non-coding RNA (CGRA_LNC001633)". Lineage: Eukaryota; Viridiplantae; Streptophyta; Magnoliopsida; Brassicales; Brassicaceae. The record is from RNAcentral.